UACGUAGGGUGCAAGCGUUAAUCGGAAUUACUGGGCGUAAAGCGUGCGCAGGCGGUUUUGUAAGUCUGACGUGAAAUCCCCGGGCUCAACCUGGGAAUUGCGUUGGAGACUGCAAGGCUAGAAUCUGGCAGAGGGGGGUAGAAUUCCACGUGUAGUAGUGAAAUGCGUAGAGAUGUGGAGGAACACCGAUGGCGAAGGCAGCCCCCUGGGUCAAGAUUGACGCUCAUGCACGAAAGCGUGGGGAGCAAACAGG
RNAcentral lists this ribosomal RNA (253 nucleotides) under uncultured bacterium. RNAcentral describes it as "partial 16S ribosomal RNA". It matches the Rfam family "Bacterial small subunit ribosomal RNA", at positions 524 to 776 of the family's 1533-position model. The record is from RNAcentral.